RNAcentral lists this ribosomal RNA (323 nucleotides) under Clostridioides difficile. RNAcentral describes it as "bacterial LSU rRNA". It matches the Rfam family "Bacterial large subunit ribosomal RNA", at positions 1258 to 1578 of the family's 2925-position model. The record is from RNAcentral. Lineage: Bacteria; Bacillati; Bacillota; Clostridia; Peptostreptococcales; Peptostreptococcaceae.
CAGCCGUAAGGACAUGUGGACAGUAUGGGAGUGAGAAAGUGGGCAAGAGUAGCGAGAUGUGGGUGAGAAUACCACAGGCCGAAAAACAAAGGUUUCCAGGGGAAGGUUCGUCCGCCCUGGGUUAGUCGGGACCUAAGCUGAGGCCGAAAGGCGUAGGUGAUGGACAACAGGUUGAUAUUCCUGUCCUACCGAUAACCGUUUGAGAGAAGGGCUGACACAGUAGGAUAAGCUACGCACACUGUUGGUUAUGUGUGCCAAAGCAUUGAGGCAGUCAACGUAGGCAAAUCCGCUUUGAUAAGGCUGGGAGGUGAAUGGGGUGGUAG